This 343-nucleotide unclassified non-coding RNA is filed under the name soil metagenome. Its description in RNAcentral is "partial contains 5.8S ribosomal RNA, internal transcribed spacer 2, and large subunit ribosomal RNA". The stretch from base 1 to 120 matches the Rfam family "5.8S ribosomal RNA", at positions 35 to 154 of the family's 154-position model. The record is from RNAcentral.
GAUGAAGAACGCAGCGAAAUGCGAUAAGUAAUGUGAAUUGCAGAAUUCAGUGAAUCAUCGAAUCUUUGAACGCACAUUGCGCCCGCCAGUAUUCUGGCGGGCAUGCCUGUUCGAGCGUCAUUUCAACCCUCAGGCCCCGCCUGGCGUUGGGGAUCGGCGCGGCCCUCUCCGGGCUGCCGGCCCCGAAAACUAGUGGCGGUCUCGCUGUAGUCCUCCUCUGCGCAGUAGCAACGCUCGUACUGGAACUCGGCGCGGCCACGCCGUAAAACACCCCACUUCUGAAAGUUGACCUCGGAUCAGGUAGGAAUACCCGCUGAACUUAAGCAUAUCAAUAAGCGGAGGA